This 30-nucleotide non-coding RNA is filed under the name Homo sapiens (human). The record is from RNAcentral. Lineage: Eukaryota; Metazoa; Chordata; Mammalia; Primates; Hominidae.
UUAACACUUAUUGAGUGCUUAUUGUGUGCC